AUACCAUGAUGAGGACACUUCCUAGUGAGAUCCUUGAACCUCUCCCAAGCCACAUGGAGAGAUUCAUUAUCCAGCUGACAUAAAUUAUUAGUUUCUCCUUGAAGCUU
This is a small nucleolar RNA of Cannabis sativa, 107 nucleotides long. NCBI's taxonomy places the organism in Eukaryota, Viridiplantae, Streptophyta, Magnoliopsida, Rosales, Cannabaceae. The record is from RefSeq and is a predicted model, not a curated record.